CUUAGCCACUAAGUAGCACUGUCCUCCAUCACAGGAAGUCACCUGCAAGCCCAGCCAGAGACAAGUGUGGGCAGGUUCUGGAUUCAGUAGGAUUCUGUGCUGCUGUCAAGUCCAAGGAUUCACAGUAGGUUUGUCUUGGGAAGUCCCCUUGGUGAGCACUCCACAACCAGCUGCAGGAGUUGUGUCUGCUGGGCAUCAUGACAGGCAACAAGGACACCCUGCAGGGACCCUAUAUUGGCAUCAUGGCAGAGGGCAAAUGGCACUGAAGCAAAGAGAAGCAGAGGGCAAGAGCACACUCGGUGAUUUAGUGCAUCCAAGACAGUUUUUCAAAAGCAUUGACACAUGUGACGAGGCUUGAUUUAAUCAGAUGAGAGGAGGGAGAGAGAGGAAGAAAGUGUUUUAGAAAAAUGCAGCCGGGCCCAGGUGGGCAAAGGCCCGCCGUCUCUCAGGCCCACCUCAUCUCCUUACUCCCCGACCUCUUGGUUCCAUUCACAAGCACCCGUGACCACCUCAGGCAUUGUCUGCAUCCUGGGGGUUGGCCCUCACCCCUGCCCCACCGGGUGUGCCGGGCUACUGCUUCCUGGCUCCGUGCACUUGCUGCCAACCCAGCUCUGAGGUGCCUAAGGAGAAGAGGCGCAUGCAGCAGGUGAGGAGGCAGGAGCAGGAGACAGAGGCAGAGGGUCCACACCAGGCCGGGGCCUGGGUAAGGCUGGAGCCUGCUUAAGGCUGGCGUGGUGCGUGGAGAGCGGAGGGUGGGUCUGGGAUGGUGGCAGUGGAGGGACCCCAGAACUGGUUUUACCAGGCCCCUUUGAUGAGUUCAGGUGGCCGUCUUGUUUCUGCUCUUUUUUCCUGUCCUAACAGCAGAAGAUUCAGAUCUGAGUUUCUGGAAGCGACGUCGAUGAGAGUGGAGCACGUCUCCUGGUGUGUCUUUACUCCUCGCCAGCUGGGCACUGAGAAGGCGGGAGACUUGGGUAUUCCUAUCACAUGAUCCACUGCCUUUGGGGGCCCACCCCAGCCGGGUGCCUCCAGGAGGACUGUCCGGCCGUCAGCCUUCAGAGAACCUGCAUUCUGUGAAAGAUCAGAAUUCAUCUCUGAGAAGCACUAAAUCUACGAGGCUGUUCCAAACCUUUCUCGUCUAUGUUCU
This 1144-nucleotide long non-coding RNA is filed under the name Marmota monax (woodchuck). Lineage: Eukaryota; Metazoa; Chordata; Mammalia; Rodentia; Sciuridae. The record is from RNAcentral.